This 301-nucleotide ribosomal RNA is filed under the name uncultured bacterium. RNAcentral's name for it is "partial 16S ribosomal RNA". It matches the Rfam family "Bacterial small subunit ribosomal RNA", at positions 509 to 808 of the family's 1533-position model. The record is from RNAcentral.
CAGCAGCCGCGGGAAUACGUAGGUCCCGAGCGUUGUCCGGAUUUAUUGGGCGUAAAGCGAGCGCAGGCGGUUAGAUAAGUCUGAAGUUAAAGGCUGUGGCUUAACCAUAGUACGCUUUGGAAACUGUUUAACUUGAGUGCAAGAGGGGAGAGUGGUAUUCCAUGUGUAGCGGUGAAAUGCGUAGAUAUAUGGAGGAACACCGGUGGCGGAAGCGGCUCUCUGGCUUGUAACUGACGCUGAGGCUCGAAAGCGUGGGGAGCAAACAGGAUUAGAUACCCCAGUAGUCCCUGUCUCUUAUACA